CCCUUAGAUGUUCUGGGCCGCACGCGUGCUACACUGAGUGGAUCAGCGGGUCAGGUUGCGCGAAAGUGUUUCCUAAUCUUGAAAUCCGCUCGUGAUGGGGAUUGACGGUUGCAAUUUUCCGUCAUGAACGAGGAAUACCUUGUAAGCGCGGGUCAUCAUCCCGCGCUGAAUACGUCCCUGCCCUUUGUACACACCGCCCGUCGCUCCUACCGAUUGAGUGGUCCGGUGAGGCCUCGGGAUUGUGGCGGUUGCCUUUAUUGGUGGCCGCCGCGAGAACUUGUCUAAACCUUAUCAUCUAGAGGAAGGUGAAGUCGUAACA
Molecule: ribosomal RNA, 319 nt
Filed under: uncultured eukaryote
Lineage: Eukaryota
Description: partial 18S ribosomal RNA
Rfam family: Eukaryotic small subunit ribosomal RNA
Source: RNAcentral